RNAcentral lists this ribosomal RNA (497 nucleotides) under uncultured bacterium. Its description in RNAcentral is "partial 16S ribosomal RNA". It matches the Rfam family "Bacterial small subunit ribosomal RNA", at positions 28 to 507 of the family's 1533-position model. The record is from RNAcentral.
GAUGAACGCUGGCGGCGUGCCUAAUACAUGCAAGUCGAGCGAACAGACGAGGAGCUUGAUCCUCUGACGUUAGCGGCGGACGGGUGAGUAACACGUGGAUAACCUACCUAUAAGACUGGGAUAACUUCGGGAAACCGGAGCUAAUACCGGAUAAUAUAUUGAACCGCAUGGUUCAAUAGUGAAAGACGGUUUUGCUGUCACUUAUAGAUGGAUCCGCGCCGCAUUAGCUAGUUGGUAAGGUAACGGCUUACCAAGGCAACGAUGCGUAGCCGACCUGAGAGGGUGAUCGGCCACACUGGAACUGAGACACGGUCCAGACUCCUACGGGAGGCAGCAGUAGGGAAUCUUCCGCAAUGGGCGAAAGCCUGACGGAGCAACGCCGCGUGAGUGAUGAAGGUCUUCGGAUCGUAAAACUCUGUUAUUAGGGAAGAACAAAUGUGUAAGUAACUAUGCACGUCUUGACGGUACCUAAUCAGAAAGCCACGGCUAACUACGUG